This 429-nucleotide ribosomal RNA is filed under the name Bacillota bacterium. Its description in RNAcentral is "Firmicutes bacterium partial 16S ribosomal RNA". It matches the Rfam family "Bacterial small subunit ribosomal RNA", at positions 355 to 776 of the family's 1533-position model. Lineage: Bacteria; Bacillati; Bacillota. The record is from RNAcentral.
UAGGGAAUCUUCGGCAAUGGACGGAAGUCUGACCGAGCAACGCCGCGUGAGUGAAGAAGGUUUUCGGAUCGUAAAGCUCUGUUGUUAGAGAAUAACGUUGGCAGGAGUGGAAAAUCUACCAAGUGACGGUAACUAACCAGAAAGGGACGGCUAACUACGUGCCAGCAGCCGCGGUAAUACGUAGGUCCCGAGCGUUGUCCGGAUUUAUUGGGCGUAAAGCGAGCGCAGGCGGUUCUUUAAGUCUGAAGUUAAAGGCAGUGGCUUAACCAUUGUACGCUUUGGAAACUGGAGGACUUGAGUGCAGAAGGGGAGAAUGGAAUUCCAUGUGUAACGGUGAAAUGCGUAGAUAUAUGGAGGAACACCGGUGGCGAAAGCGGCUCUCUGGUCUGUAACUGACGCAGAGGCUCGAAAGCGUUGGGUGCAAACAGG